Molecule: long non-coding RNA, 6296 nt
Organism: Trifolium pratense (red clover)
Lineage: Eukaryota; Viridiplantae; Streptophyta; Magnoliopsida; Fabales; Fabaceae
Exons: 16
Source: RefSeq, a predicted model, not a curated record
AUUUUGAAUACAAUUGUUUAACAGAAUCUGAAUGGGAUAAGUAAUGUUGAAUGUCUUAUUAUAAUCCUCAGCUGUCAUAUCUUCUCCGAAGUUUAUUUUUUUUUAAAUACUGUUACUCAUGCAAUUCAUAAUGCUGUAUACACGCACCAAGAACAUCAAAGGGAGUCUUAAGAUCUGGCCGAUCUUUUAAUAAAGAUUCUCCCAUGGCAGAGUAUUAUUGAUUCCCUCAACACUAUUCUUUGUACUAUGAAAGAGAACUUUCCGUUUAGGCUUUUGAUCAAUGAGGGAAUCAGCCAGUCAAUAUUGGUUAGUGGUGAAAGUGGGGCUGGUAAAACAGAAAGCACAAAGUUACUUAUGCGCUACGUUUCUUACAUGGGAGGGAGAGCUAAUGUUUGACAUUUUGGCAGAAAGUCCUGGAGUCCAAUCCUGUUCUAGAAGCCUUUGGAAAUGCAUAGACUGUUAGAAACAAUAAUUCAAGUUUGUGGAGAUUCAAUUUGACCAGAAGGGAAGAAUUUCUGGAGCUGCUAUCAGGACUUACCUGCUGGAAAGAUCACGUGUUUGCCAGUUGUCGGAUCCAGAGAGGAAUUAUCACUGUUUCUAUAUGCUUUGUGCUGCACCUCCAGAGGUUGUUCAGAAGUACAAAUUAGGAAACCCUAGAACCUUUCAUUAUCUAAAUCAAACAAAUUGCUAUGAGUUGGAAGGAUAUGAUGAAUUUAAAGAAUAUUGUGAUACAAGGAGAGCAAUGGAUUUUGUUGGAAUAAGUUCAUAAUGCUGUUCUUAAAGUGUGAUCUGGAAUAAGAUUCUCUUUGCAAGCGUAUAAUUGUUACUCGUGAUGAAACUAUUAUAAAAUGCCUGGAUCCCGAAGCUGCUACACUGAGCCGAGAUGCUUUAGCUAAGGUUGUGUACUCGAGGUUGUUUGACUGGCUGGUUGAUAAAAUUAAUAAUUCAAUUGGUCAUGAUCCUGACUCAAAGUCCUUAACCGGCAUGCUGGAUAUUUAUGGUUUUGAGAGUUUCAAGACUAACCAGUUUUGAGCAGUUCUGUAUUAAUUUGACCAAUGAAAAGCUCCAGCAACAUUUCAAUCAGCAACAAUUACAAGCACUACUUGAAAUUCUUAGUUCCACUGAGCUGAGCCACACUACAUUCGUUGUGUUAGACCCGAUAAUCUUCUCAAGCCAGCAAUUUUUGAGCACAAAAAUGUUUUGCAGCAACUGCGCUGUGGAGGUGUCAUGGAGGCAAUCAGGAUAAGCUGCGCUGGCUAUCCCACCAGAAAAACGUUUGAUGAAUUCGUGGAUCGAUUCGGGCUUCUUGCACCUGAAGCUUUGGAUCGUAGUUCUGAUGAAGUCACUGCUUGCAAGAAGGUUGAUGCUGCAUUAGUUGAUUGCUUCUGUAUUUCCACAGGUUGCAAUUUGUUGUUGUUGUUUUCAUGUCUUUGCCUAAUUAUAUUGCAAUUUGCUUCUGUUUUCAUGUAUAUGCUUAAUUAGAUUAGAUUGGAACCGUGAUAUGCAAGCAAAUCUCACAAGAGACUUGUGAUAAAGGUUGUUUGUAUGAUUGUUUUUAUGACUAAUAGGUUAGUCCAGUGAAAUGUGGAAGAAUUCAAGUUGAUGGUGAUUGGUGAAAUGAUACUGGUUUUAUAAGUAGUUAAAUCAUCUCAAAAGAUAAGCCAUUUUUUAAAUAGGUUUGAAACACUUGAUUCUUUACUUCCAUAAGAUAAGCCAUUUUUUAAAUAGGUUAGAAACACUUGAUUCUUUACUUCUAAUUUUGUGAUAGAAUUUGUAACUGAUGAUGUUAAUGUUUAAGGCAUGAACCACCUAUGAUGGCUUGUGUUUGGGGUCUAAGCUUAAAUAGGAUAUAAGCUUAAAAGAUCUGGACUCGCAUUACUAGAUUCGUGAGAUCUCGCUUCUCAAGUCCAUUGGGAACAAAGAGAUCUUUUCAGGAUAUAAAUAGCAGCAUACAAAGGGUUAUUAUACCUAGCACAAAGUGGGAACAAAUGAAGGUGACAAACCAUCAGCUAUAUAUGUCAUGGUUUCUUCUUGUUUGUCUUAUUCAGGCUAUUUCAUUAAUACCAAUGUCAUGUUUUGCAGCUUAAUCAAUUUAAUUUGGGUAAGAGCUAAGCUAUGUCUCGGUGCUUAUACUUUUGAAAUUUAACAUUUUGGGCUAAACUAUUUUAUAUAAUGUUAUUGAACAUUUGCAAUUCCUUGAUUUGAUCUUUUUUUUUUGUUUUUUUUGUUUAAAUGGCAAUUUCUGUGCCGUAUGAUACCCCUGUAAAUGCAACUAAUCUAAUCUUGAUAUCCUAUUAUUUCAUAUUAUAAUGCAACUGAUAAACAUUAUACUUGCUCUCUCUGUACUCAUGCAAUAAAAUUCAAGGAUUGAACCUAACUGGGAUAUCUUGGAACCUCGCAUUAUAAUCUACAAAUUUGAAGAUAAUGCAAGUCCUUUUAUGUUUGAAGUUCUAUCAGUAUGAUGUGUUCACUUUAUUGUCAUGAAAUGAUUUACUUUCUUUCAGUGAUGUCAGUUCCAACUGCAUAAUGAGUGAAAUAAUGACGGGUUACCUCCCAAUGCAACCCAUAUGUAACCCUGCUGUUCUAAUGAUUUUGUUCCUGCAUGGUCAAAUUCAGUUUAGUCAUGUUCGUACUUCAAGGAACAUUUUAAACAUUGUUUUCUAAUGGAUGAUAUCAACUUAUCCAAUUUCAGAAUGUGAUUUCUCAUGGUCUUGGUGGUGCUAGCCUAGAUGUUGUCCUUUAUGGACGGGUGACUUUUACUUUUUUGUAUCCAUUAUUUUGUUUUAUUUUAAUUUUUAGUGAACUUUGAUAUGAAGUUAUGGAUUAAUUAUUAAAUGUCCCUGUGUGUGAACAGAAAGUCAUCUGCCUUUCAACAGGAAUGGAUUCAAAUUUUUCACAAAUGACAGUGGUCUUGGGAAGCCUGACUUCAAAGAUAUCUUAGAGCGGGUUGCAAACGUAUACAAUCAAUUUACAUAAGUAGAAAGCCUUCCUCUUCAAGGACAGAAGAAAUGCAGGUGCUAUUCCAGACUGACAUGAAGGAUAAAAAGCCGAAACAGAGAGGCUCCAGAACAGGAAAGAAGGCGAAGCAAUCAUUCAAAAGCAAGUCAAGGGACAAUGAUUUGCACAAGUUACUUUUUAUGCCUAAUGGCCUACCAGACGGUGCUGAGUUGGCUUACUAUGUCAAAGGACACGCGUCUUGAUAUUAUCUCUUGAUAUUUUGUGUUUAUGGAUUGAUCUGCACGUUAUUUUUAUUUUUCUUAAAUAUGUGACUUGAAUGAUGUGCUUUUCAGAAACUACUUGGAGGUUACAAACAAGGAAAUGGUAUAGUCUGUGGUUGUUGUGAUGUAGAGAUAAGCCCUUCACAGUUUGAAGCCCAUGCUGGAAUGGCGGCUUGGCGUCAACCUUACUGCCACAUAUAUACUUCCAAUGGAUUUGCAUAGUGGUCACCAUUUGGUAGAAGAUCAGAAAGCUACUGAAACACAGACUGACACACCUGUGAAAAAGUUUGGUACAGAGUCUGAUAGCAAAUCAAGGAGAUCAUACAUUGAACGUCAACAUGCGUGUGCUUAAAAUUUUACAUCUAAUAUUCCAGUUCUUUAUGCUACUAUGUUCAUCUUUUUAACUCUUAUUUCAAAUGUAGGAAAAUGUUGAUUCCCUUAUCAAUUGUGUUAUGAAAAAUAUUGGAUUCCAUCAUGGAAAGCCUAUUGCUGCAUUCACCAUUUACAAAUGUCUUCUCCACUGGAAAUCAUUUGAAGCUGAAAGGACAAGUGUAUUUGAUCGCUUUAUCGAGAUGAUUGGUUCUGCAAUUGAGGUAAAUCUUUUUUAUUUUUUUAUUUAGAGAUAUACAAGUAUAAUACUUUGAACCGUCCCCUAAUAACUUGAGCUUUAAGGAAAAUCAAUCCUAGAUAUAUGAUUCUAAUUUUCAGUGAAAGUCUAUUUAGAUUAUCCAGUUUAUUUUUGCAUGAAGAAGGAUUACAUAAAAAUGAUUGACAUGGCCAGUGGACGUGGUGGGCAAAUGCAAUUAACUUUUCUUUUGCAGGCAAGAUUUUGAGGCUGGGCUCCGAGACAUUAAAACUCGUGUAGCCAAUUAUGAGAAGGCAAGUCUUUCAUAUAUACUUCUAAUGACUGUUCUAGGUGAGCUUUCACUUUAAAUAAUGCUGAUUUUGUAUUCCUAGGUUUAUGAGACGCUAGAAGAAGGAUUACAACUUAAUGAUUUUCAUAAUCUUCUCUCAAUUUUAUUUUCAGUUUCAAUGAAUUUAUAUUUCAAUUUCUAACUUAGGGUGCAAACGUAGUUAUUGUUAUUGAUGUUUGUACUCAACUGAAUUGAUUUGCUUGAGUGUUGAGUAUAUGAUUUGUUAAAGUAUAUAAGUAUGGAUUUCUUUUUCAAUCUCAUUAUGUUGUUGCUGCAUUAGUUGAUUGCUUCUGUAUUUGCACAGGUUGCAAUUUGUUGUUUUCAUGUCUAUACCUUAUUAUAUUGCAAUUUGCUUCUGUUUUCAUGCAUAUGCUUAAUUAGAUUAGAUUGGAACCGUGAUAUGCAAGCAAAUCUAACUUGUAUGAUUGUUUUUAUGACCAAUAGGUUAGUCCAGUGAAAUGUGGAAGGAUUCAAGUUGAUGGUGAUUGGUGAAAUGAUACUGGUUUUAUAAGUAGUUAAAUCAUCUCAAAAGAUAAGCCAUUUUUUAAAUAGGUUUGAAACACGUGAUUCUUUACUUCCAAAAGAUAAGCCAUUUUUUAAAUAGGUUCGAAACACUUGAUUCUUUACUUCUAAUGUUGUGAUAGAAUUUGUAACUGAUGAUGUUAAUGUUUAAGGCAUGAACCACCUAUGAUGGCUUGUGUUUGGGGUCUAACCUUAAAUAGGAUAUAAGCUUAAAAGGUAAUUGUACUAACUCGGUUUCAUGCUCUGCUUGGUUUAAUUAAUAUCACACACUUUUGCAUGAAUUUUUCGUUGCGUCAUACACUAACUGGUUUGAAUCGGUGUUUGAUGUUAGAUCUGGACUCGCAUUACUAGAUUCGUGAGAUCUCGCUUCUCAAGUCCAUUGGGGACAAAGGGAUCUUUUCAGGAUAUAAAUAGCAGCAAACAGAGGGUUAUUAAUAUUAUACCUAGCACAAAGUGGGAACAAAUGAAGGUGACAAACCAUCAGCUAUAUAUGUCAUGGUUUCUUCUUUUCUGUCUUAUUCACGCUAUUUCAUUAAUACCAAUGUCAUGUUUUGCAGCUUAAUCAAUUUAAUUUGGGGAAGAGCUAAGCUAUGUCUCGGUGCUUAUACUUUUCAAAUAUAACAUUUUGGGCUAAACUAUUUUAUAUAAUGUUAUUGAACAUUUGCAAUUCCAUAAACGGACUCUAUUGGUAAAAUAAAUAGCUUCGGGAUAGAGCAGACACUAGAAACAGCGUCCGCCAAACGGACUCUUAUGGCAACAACCAAGUGUCUGCCGUAUACCUGUGAUUGUAGCGUCAACAUAGUGUCUCCUCUGACGGACGUCAAAUUGCGUCUGCUGGACGCAACUGUCUAGUUUCAGGCAUUUAAGUGUCUGUCACGACAUAAACGCUAAGCAGAUGCUAAAUUCCUUGUAGCGUCCCCUUUUUGCCCUUUAGCUUCUCAUUUGGUCCGACGCUACAAAGCAGUUUUGUUGUAGUAAUUCAUUGCUAAUAUGUAUUCCAUCUCUUGAUCUUUAUAUCUUAGUCACCUGGUCAAAACUAAAUCAAAUGGCACUAUUAUCAUUUUGAUCUUUAUAUUGUUUACUAAUUUUGAGUCAAGGAUGCAGCUGCUGAAGAUCAUAACCUAAAAUGAAUUUCUACCUUUAUGGCAGGUUUGUGGUCUGGUGUUGUUGGUCACUUGGAAUCAUGUAAUGGAAAUUAAAAUUCUAGCCGCUGUCAUAUGAGUGGCAUGUUAAUAAAGUAAUUUGCCUAGGAAUUUUGAUGAUAGAGUGAACAUUAUUAUUGUAUGCUGAGUUUAAAUUUUCAAUUGAUUUCAAUUUUGAAUUUCAACAUUUUCUUAUUGUGUUGUUUUUGAACAGGUUGCUCGAGAAUUAGAUAUGAUGUGGAAGAGAAAAAUGACAUAAUUUUUAUUGGCUAUGCCUCUCAUAUGGUUAAAUGUUCCAUUGAAGACCCUUAAGUCUAAAUCCUAUUGGCUACAUAGUUUCAAUUAUAUGUUGCCUCGAUAGGCUUUAAUUAAAUGUUUCUUUGAUGACCCAUAAGUCUAAUUCUUAUUGGCUAUACAUGAUGACCCUUAUUAGAUGUUACCUCUAUGACCUUUAAGUUCAAUUCUUAUUGGUUAUAUAAAUUCGGUUAAUGUUGUCUCGA